Molecule: small nuclear RNA, 91 nt
Organism: Sarcophilus harrisii (Tasmanian devil)
Lineage: Eukaryota; Metazoa; Chordata; Mammalia; Dasyuromorphia; Dasyuridae
Source: Ensembl
GCUUCAGCAAAACAUAAAAUUGGAACAAUACAGAGAAAAUUAGCAUGGCUCCUGAGCAAGAAUGACAUGCAAAUUCAUGAAGAAAUUUAUU